CCUCCGACAUGGGGAUUGAGAAUGCUCCGGCUAUGAAAAGCAUGGGGUCUGUCUCAGGACACAGCUCCCACAGCCCUAAGUGGGCAAAUGCCCCAAAGUGUCAAGCAUGAGCCACCUCUGAAGGAGCAUUUACUAUCUCAAGACCUUUGGGCAUGUUGUCCCUUCUACCUGGAAUACCCUUCCUUCAAAAUUCAGAGCCAAAAGCAAAAAGCGUUCGCUGAUCGCAGAGGGGGAGAGGGAUGUGGGAGGGCUUGGGGCGCAGAAUUAGUUGCUACCUCCUCUGGGCGUUCACAGGCCAAAUUUCCUUGGUGUGGCACCUGGCAUUCUGUGAUUGUGCCUGUUUCCCUGUGGUCUGGUCCUGUGCCUAUUGGCCCAAUUACACUGGGAGUCAUACA
Molecule: long non-coding RNA, 395 nt
Filed under: Pan troglodytes (chimpanzee)
Lineage: Eukaryota; Metazoa; Chordata; Mammalia; Primates; Hominidae
Description: lincRNA
Source: RNAcentral